GGAAGUGUGGCUCAGUGGUAGAGCAUUUGUCUGGCAUGCCCAAAGCCCUGGGUUCUAUCCCAAGCAGUGCCA
This 72-nucleotide transfer RNA is filed under the name Ictidomys tridecemlineatus (thirteen-lined ground squirrel). RNAcentral describes it as "Spermophilus tridecemlineatus (thirteen-lined ground squirrel) tRNA". It matches the Rfam family "tRNA". Rfam says of the family: Transfer RNA (tRNA) molecules are approximately 80 nucleotides in length. Their secondary structure includes four short double-helical elements and three loops (D, anti-codon, and T loops). The record is from Rfam by way of RNAcentral. Lineage: Eukaryota; Metazoa; Chordata; Mammalia; Rodentia; Sciuridae.